GACGAACGCUGGCGGCGUGCUUAACACAUGCAAGUCGAACGGUGAAGCUCCAGCUUGCUGGAGUGGAUCAGUGGCGAACGGGUGAGUAACACGUGAGCAACCUGCCCCUGACUCUGGAAUAAGCGCUGGAAACGGCGUCUAAUACUGGAUACGAGAAGGGUCCGCAUGGGCACUUUCUGGAAAGUUUUUCGGUUGGGGAUGGGCUCGCGGCCUAUCAGCUUGUUGGUGAGGUAAUGGCUCACCAAGGCGACGACGGGUAGCCGGCCUGAGAGGGCGACCGGCCACACUGGGACUGAGACACGGCCCAGACUCCUACGGGAGGCAGCAGUGGGGAAUAUUGCACAAUGGGCGAAAGCCUGAUGCAGCGACGCCGCGUGAGGGAUGACGGCCUUCGGGUUGUAAACCUCUUUCAGCAGGGAAGAAGCGAAAGUGACGGUACCUGCAGAAGAAGCACCGGUUAACUACGUG
Molecule: ribosomal RNA, 468 nt
Filed under: uncultured bacterium
Lineage: Bacteria
Description: partial 16S ribosomal RNA
Rfam family: Bacterial small subunit ribosomal RNA
Source: RNAcentral